This 1739-nucleotide unclassified non-coding RNA is filed under the name Hevea brasiliensis (rubber tree). Lineage: Eukaryota; Viridiplantae; Streptophyta; Magnoliopsida; Malpighiales; Euphorbiaceae. The record is from RNAcentral.
UAUCUACUUUCCACUGAAAAUGGAAACCUUUAAGCCAGGAAUUGCAUAGUGACAUGAUGAUGAUGUCCACGUCUUUUUCUCAACUUAAAUUGCCAUUUCAAUUUCAAUGCUACCCAGCAGUCAAUGACUAUGUUUCAGACUAUAAUCAUGCAUACUAUAUUAGAAUCUUAUUUAGAACAGUGCGGUUUCAAGUCUCAAUUCAAGUUAAAUAAAUAAAUAAAAAGACUUUAAUCAUGCAAACUAGCAUCUAAAACACAUUUCUGGUACCAAAAGCUCCUAAUCAUUCAAUGAAUAAGCAUACUCAUCCCCGGGGAAUCAAACCCCAUUAAAAUGUCCCUUGAAAAGAUCCACUACAAUACCCUUAACAAGCAUCCACACCUCAGAAAACCGCAGUUGAAUGAUCCUUCAAAUGCACUACAUGUUUAUUAGUUUGGUUAAUUAACAAAGAAGAUUUACACAAGGAGGAAAGAAUUUAUGCAUGGAAGGCAUACAAGGAAAAAUGCCCCCUUCAUAAAAAUAAAAUAAAAUACAAGAAAAUAUGUUAAGGUACAAGGGCUUACGAAGUGGGAUACAACCUCCUGCAUUUCUCAACAAACAAUACACACAAGUACUCUCCUCACUAUCAGAUCUUUUAUCUCUUGCCAUAUCAGGAUGGAGACAAAAAGUGGUUUAGUCUGGUAAUUUCAACCGGUUAAACAACACCAGGAAACUUUGCUCAGGAAUAACGUAAAGGAAACCAAGAUCUGCACCUUUGAAAUAUGGUCCAAUGCCCUUCCCAUUGAGUUGGAGAAGUUCACCGUCAACCCAUUGAGGAUUUCGAAACCCAAAUUCUGCUAUUCUUCCUUGACCUUUGUAACUUGCAACCACUCCUAAUUCAUCUGGAUACAUUCCACGGUUAGAAUUGCGACUCCCUUUCCCAAUUCUGGCACGAAAAGUUACCUGGCCAGCAGGAACAUUAAGAUCCCCAGUCAGUUUCACUGCCUCAACAUACUCGAAGAAUUCCACAUCCGAGGGCUUUUCAUCCCCACCAUUCCAAUGACCAAAUUUCCGCCUCAAUUGUACUACCUCUGUUCCAUAAGGGCCAAAAGCACCAACAUAUAGGCCUGCACUUCAACCAUCAGAUUACACCAUCAAUAAAUAUCUUCUAUCAAUUAAAUCAAGGAUGAUCACAGUGCACAAUGAACCCCACUCUGUGAGGGUCAGAGUAUAUCAAGGAAAUUGGGAAAAAAGAAAUGUAAACUGACGGACCAUCAAAUGGAUCAAAAUUAUUAUUGGAAGUGGUAAUUCUACUGAAAUUUGUAUACUUGGCUAAACGGCUUUGUUUCUGAGCUUGACUAACAGCAAGUUUGACAAUUUCACGCACAUCUCUUGAAACCUGAUAUAAAAACAAAUGAUUAAUCAACUUCUUGUUGAGAGAAACAUAUUCUUGAAAUAAAGUAGCAGGAUGUUAUAGACAUCUUUCAGGGAAAAAAGAUCUGAACAGUGACUAACAAUUACAAAGAUUUUAACAUUCAUAUAGUUACCAGAUUUUGAUUAUGAAUCAAACAGGAUGAAAUUUGACCAACACAAUAGCACUGAACUUCAAUAUUUAUAAAAUUCCAGCAUCCUGUGGUUGUCCAAUUUGAUGCUGGAAGCCUGGAACAGCUAAUGAAAAUCAUAGCUAUUAUCGGAAUAACGAUUUUCAUAUAGCUUGAUAGGAAACUAAGAAAUUGCACAACAGGGUAGGCUUUGCUUUUUUU